This 647-nucleotide long non-coding RNA is filed under the name Homo sapiens (human). RNAcentral describes it as "HSALNT0235501". Lineage: Eukaryota; Metazoa; Chordata; Mammalia; Primates; Hominidae. The record is from RNAcentral.
GUCAUCAUUAUUGUGACUUUGUAACAUUUUAGCUAACACCCAGCUUUAGGCUGUGACUUGGAAACAUUUUAUCUUCAACGUCUGGCCCUAGGCCCUGGGUUUCAGGCUUGACGUUUGUCAUCGGAGAAUUUAAAAGUGAGUCCAGAAACGAUCACUGAUCCCUGGUGUAUGUGAACCUUGACUGGCCCUUGAUGUGAAUAAAUCAACUGCGAAAAGAGAUUUAUGAAGCUGCUGGGAACACCUGACUGGAUGCUCGUAAGAACGUUCAGGUGUUAUGAUGCUGUGGUGUUUCUCUGAAUUUAAAGAAACGUACUCAGAGCAUAUAAGAUUCAAAACUAUGGGUUUGCUUUAAAAGAAUCCAGUCCACCAGGUGCAGUGGCUCACGCCUGUAGUCCCAGAACUUUGGGAGGCCGAGGCAGGCAGAUCACGAGGCCAGGAGUCCAAGAGAAGACUGGCCAAAAUGGUGAAACCCCACAAAAGAUACAAAAAAUUAGCCGGGUGUGGUGGCGUGCACCUGUAAUCCCAGUUACUCAGGAGGUUAAAGCAGAAGAAUCGCUUGAACCUGGGAGGCGGAGGUUGCAGUGAGCCAAGAUGACACCACUGCACUCCAGCCUGGGCUACAGGGCAAGACUCCGUCAGGAAAAAAA